GGGCGUAAGAGCUCGUAGGCGGUUCAGUAAGUCGGGUGUGAAAACUCUGGGCUCAACCCGGAGACGCCACCCGAUACUGUUGAACUAGAGUUCGGUAGGGGAGUGGGGAAUUCCUGGUGUAGCGGUGAAAUGCGCAGAUAUCAGGAGGAACACCGGUGGCGAAGGCGCCACUCUGGGCCGAAACUGACGCUGAGGAGCGAAAGCGUGGGUAGCAAACAGGAUUAGAUACCCUGGUAGUCCACGCCGUAAACGUUGGGCACUAGGUGUGGGCUCCAACCAACGGAGUCCGUGCCGUCGCUAACGCAUUAAGUGCCCCGCCUGGGGAGUACGGCCGCAAGGUUAAAACUCAAAGGAAUUGACGGGGCCCCGCACAAGCAGCGGAGCGUGUUGCUUAAUUCGAUGCGACGCGAAGAACCUUACCUGGGCUUGACAUGCAGGGAAAAGCCGUAGAGAUACGGUGUCCUUCGGGGCCUUGCACAGGUGGUGCAUGGCUGUCGUCAGCUCGUGUCGUGAGAUGUUGGGUUAAGUCCCGCAACGAGCGCAACCCUUGUCCUAUGUUGCCAGCGGGUAAUGCCGGGGACUCGUAGGAGACUGCCGGGGUCAACUCGGAGGAAGGUAAU
This 620-nucleotide ribosomal RNA is filed under the name uncultured Actinomycetes bacterium. RNAcentral describes it as "bacterial SSU rRNA". It matches the Rfam family "Bacterial small subunit ribosomal RNA", at positions 556 to 1177 of the family's 1533-position model. The record is from RNAcentral. Lineage: Bacteria; Bacillati; Actinomycetota; Actinomycetes.